GGGGCGGUAGCUCAGCAGGUCAGAGCAGGGGACUCAUAAUCCCUUGGUCGCGGGUUCGAGCCCCGCCCGCCCCACCA
Molecule: transfer RNA, 77 nt
Filed under: Nocardiopsaceae bacterium
Lineage: Bacteria; Bacillati; Actinomycetota; Actinomycetes; Streptosporangiales; Nocardiopsidaceae
Description: tRNA-Ile
Rfam family: tRNA
About the family: Transfer RNA (tRNA) molecules are approximately 80 nucleotides in length.
Source: RNAcentral